UGGUGGAGUGAUUUGUCUGGUUAAUUCCGAUAACGAACGAGACCUUAACCUGCUAAAUAGUCCGGCCGGCUUUUGCUGGUCGCAGACUUCUUAGAGGGACUGUCAGCGUCUAGCUGACGGAAGUUUGAGGCAAUAACA
RNAcentral lists this ribosomal RNA (138 nucleotides) under uncultured eukaryote. RNAcentral describes it as "partial 18S ribosomal RNA". It matches the Rfam family "Eukaryotic small subunit ribosomal RNA", at positions 1299 to 1458 of the family's 1831-position model. The record is from RNAcentral.